UUCUUUCGAGCACAACUACAUCCAAAAACAACUUACCUGUGAGCAGAGAGAGUAUUUGUUAACCCCUUUGAGCUUAAACAGUUGAAUCUCGGCUUGAAAUAAAGCGAGAUCUCAAAAAUCUUUUUUUUACAACCCGGAAAAUCUUGAUUAUUGUUCUUUUGCCGUAAAAAGUUAAGAGCAUUCACUUAGGGUGAGUAAGAAAUAAGUUGGGGAGAACGAAAAAGAAUCGGUAAGUACCACAACUCUUGAAAAAGAAAAGAAAAACCGAGCAAGCAUAGGAAAAUAUAUGUAUAGAAAAUAUAGAAAAGAAACAUCUGUUUUGUAUAUUUGAUGUGAAAGAAAAGAACAAAA
Molecule: long non-coding RNA, 351 nt
Filed under: Lathyrus oleraceus (garden pea)
Lineage: Eukaryota; Viridiplantae; Streptophyta; Magnoliopsida; Fabales; Fabaceae
Description: Pisum sativum (pea) long non-coding RNA (PSAT_LNC003827)
Source: RNAcentral